Molecule: ribosomal RNA, 406 nt
Filed under: uncultured bacterium
Lineage: Bacteria
Description: partial 16S ribosomal RNA
Rfam family: Bacterial small subunit ribosomal RNA
Source: RNAcentral
AUUGACCGCUGGCGGCAGGCCUAACACAUGCAAGUCGAACGAGUGGCGGACGGGUGAGUAAUGUCUGGGAAACUGCCUGAUGGAGGGGGAUCACUACUGGAAACGGUAGCUAAUACCGCAUACCAUCGGAUGUGCCCAGAUGGGAUUAGCUAGUAGGUGGGGUAAAGGCUCACCUGUGCGGCGAUCCCUAGCUGGUCUGAGCGGAUGACCAGACACACUUGAACUGAGACAAGGUCCAAACUCCUACGGGAGGCAGCAGGGGGGAAUAGUACGCAGUGGGCGAAAGCCUGAUGCAGCCAUGCCGCGUGUAUGAAGAGGGCGUUCGGGUUGUAAAGUACUUUCAGCGGGGAGGCGUUACCCGCAGAAGAAGCACCGGCUAACUACUUGCCAGCAGCCGCGGUAAUUC